RNAcentral lists this long non-coding RNA (408 nucleotides) under Homo sapiens (human). Its description in RNAcentral is "HSALNT0145292". The record is from RNAcentral. Lineage: Eukaryota; Metazoa; Chordata; Mammalia; Primates; Hominidae.
GCCAACUUACUUCUGAUGAAGCUGGCACAGCAGAGUGACGGGAUGUGGCUCCCGAGAUCCGGUUACAAAGCCUGUGGCUCUGUCUUCGCUGUGCUCUCUGGCUCUCUGGCAUCCUGGGGGGUGCUGGCUGCUGUGCUGGGAGGAAGCCCUGUGGACAAGCCCAGGUGACAGCGAUGAGGGGCUGAGUCAACAGCUGUGCAAGUGAGCUGGGGAGCAGAUCCCCUAAGCUGAGCCUUCAGAUGAGCCUGCAGCCCCAACCCAAAGGCUCGGUACAACCCACGAGAGACGGUUCACGGGUGCAGUGGCUGGUGGGAGCCUCAGGUUCCAGGUCCAGAGCUCCAGGUGUCGCAGGCUUGACCUUGGAAAGAUGGAUCCAGCUACUUAAUCCUAGUACUUUGACCUCCGAAG